UACGGAGGGGGCGAGCGUUAUUCGGAAUCACUGGGCUUAAAGGGCGCGUAGGCGGGCUGCCGCGUCCGGGGUGAAAUCCCACGGCUCAACCGUGGAACGGCCUCGGAUACGGGCGGCCUGGAGGCGGGUAGGGGCGGGCGGAACUCUGGGUGGAGCGGUGAAAUGCGUUGAGAUCCAGAGGAACUCCGGUGGCGAAGGCGGCCCGCUGGACCCUUCCUGACGCUGAGGCGCGAAAGCCAGGGGAGCGAACGGG
This 253-nucleotide ribosomal RNA is filed under the name uncultured bacterium. Its description in RNAcentral is "partial 16S ribosomal RNA". It matches the Rfam family "Bacterial small subunit ribosomal RNA", at positions 524 to 776 of the family's 1533-position model. The record is from RNAcentral.